This 253-nucleotide ribosomal RNA is filed under the name uncultured bacterium. Its description in RNAcentral is "partial 16S ribosomal RNA". It matches the Rfam family "Bacterial small subunit ribosomal RNA", at positions 524 to 776 of the family's 1533-position model. The record is from RNAcentral.
UACAGAGGUGGCAAGCGUUGUUCGGAAUUACUGGGCGUAAAGGGCACGUAGGCGGCCUUCUAAGUCAGACGUGAAAUCCCCCGGCUUAACCUGGGAACUGCGUCUGAUACUGGAGGGCUUGAGUGCGGGAGAGGGAUGUGGAAUUCCAGGUGUAGCGGUGAAAUGCGUAGAUAUCUGGAGGAAUACCGGUGGCGAAGGCGGCAUCCUGGACCGGCAUUGACGCUGAUGAGCGAAAGCUAGGGGAGCAAACGGG